This is a long non-coding RNA of Mus musculus (house mouse), 452 nucleotides long. RefSeq annotates it as predicted gene, 30645. NCBI's taxonomy places the organism in Eukaryota, Metazoa, Chordata, Mammalia, Rodentia, Muridae. The record is from RefSeq and is a predicted model, not a curated record. The transcript is spliced from 2 exons.
CCCUGGUGACUUCUGUCUUCCAGAUCCUUUAUGGGUCUUGAACUGUGGCAAGCAAGAGAGUCCUGGCACUUGACUGAGAGGGCAUGACUCGAAGCAUAGCCCAAAGGGCUUUGAUCAACUCUGAUAAGUGAGACCUGGAGGAUGGUUGUUGGUGUACAGUAAAGUAUGAAGAGGUACCUUCUCAACAGAGUAGGAGUGGCACAUGUCAGUAUGUCCAAGGCAGGCUCUUUCUUGACACAAAUAAUUCACCCUUGUAACAUAUGUGGCCUCAUUUGGAAUGACCUUUUGGACAUGGAGGAACACCAAGGAACAUACCUUGUACUUAGAACUUAUUCAUGCAGGGCAUGUGAGAAACAAAUCUGGUUUUGUGAAAACUUUGGACAGAACCUAAAGUAUCAUACUGUAGAGAAUUCUUCACAAAAAGAUGACAAUAAAUCCUUGUUAAUUAAGAA